CUUGAAUUUUGUUGGCCAAGGAUGAGACAUGGGGUCUAUUCAUUUCUCUUCUAUUGGCAGGAUCCAGUUGGCAGAGCCUCAAUGCUUUUCUAUCCAUGGGCCAGGAUACUAUAGAAUCUUUGGCUUUGGCAUAAUCCACAGGGCAGCUCAUAAUAUCUCAACUUGAUCCCCUAUAGGGAGGAUGUUUUAGCAGCUUUUGUGUUGCUGUGACCAAAAUACCCAACAAGAACAACUUAAAGGAGGAAAAAGUUUAUUUGGGGUUCAGGGUUUCAGAAAUCUUAGUCCAUAGAUGUCUGACUGUUCCUCUGGGCCCAAGGUAAGGCAGCACAUCAUGGAGGAAGAUCCCAGUAGAGGAAAGCUGCUCAGCUCAUGGCAGAGUCAGGAAGCAGAGACAGGGAGGGAAGAGGAAUAGGCUACAGGGAAGAUACACCCUUCUGGGACAUGCUCCUGGUAACCCACCUCCAAACAUUUCUGCAUUAAUAAAGGAACUUUUGAGGGAUACUCAUAUUCAAACCAUAAGGAGUAGGGAGAGAGAGAGAGAGGAAAGAAGGAAGAAAAGGAGGGAGGAAAAGAAAAGUAAGAGGAAAGUAAAAGGGAAGAGGAGGAAAGGAGUGGAGAGGAGAAGAAAGGGGAAUUAGCCAGAAAGAAAUCAGACUUUGCAUAACUCAAAUUUUGGAAGUGAUAUCCCAAAACUUUUGCUGAUUUCUGUUCCUCAGAAGCUACAGGGCAGGAGCUACAGUCUUUAGGCACCAGGAGGCUGCAGAUACUAGGACAAUUGUGUGGUACCCAUCUCAUGAGAGGAGGCAGUUAGGCCAAUUCUAAAUGUCCUAGGGAGUUAUUAGAAGAUUUAUACGGGAGGAGGACAAUCUCUGAAUCUCAGUCACUUCACACUUCUUGUGGUGCAGAGUGGGAAACAUAACCAAGAGGGUAAAUGGCUUUCCCUAGAUCUCACUGGGACCCAGGUCUGGAUUGAAUUGUGUGUCACUCUUUGUCUCUCCCCUUCUAAUGACUAUUUCAUCUCUUAAGUUUGUGUGUCAAGGACUUAUGACUCCUGCCUUAGGGUUUCACAGGUAAUAUAGGUACUUAUGGGCACAUACACCUAACGAUACCCUUGGAAGCUUAUGCUAUAAUGACCCCCAGGGAGCAGGUGUGAAGACUGGGAAGGACCUGAGAGGCACAAUGAGUUGCCUAAGGUCACACACCUGGAAAGAACAAGGGGCUGGGUCUGAACUCAGGUGUACCCAGUACCCAAGCUCCCCAAAGCUUGGGUACUGGGUACACACAGGCCUGCCAGAGGGAAGGUGGGCUAGGCAUAAUAGUGUCCACUUAUACAUGUGUCAUGGGGAGAUGGGGGAACUAGCAUCCCAGGGAUUCUUUGGGGCAGUCUUGUGUCGAGAAGAGAAUCAGGUAAGGGGACCCCAAGAAGUAACCUCACUUCUUCGACAAUGGACCUAACAGAACUUGAAACCAAGCACCCACAUUGCAGAGCCAGCUCCAACUAGCUCACUCGUCAAGAUCUCUUAUAAAGUCUCCCAAAUCACCAAGGCUCAGGCCUCAGAAAACCACUGAGGGGAUGCCUCACCCAGAUUAAGAAACUGUGUCAGCCCUUGCCUGGAGUCUCAGAAGUGACACAGAACAACCCAGGAAAAGUCAGCACAGACCAGCCCACCACUCUAUUCCCUGCAACAGCCCCAGAGCCAUCCCAGGGAUGUGUGUGUGUGUAUGAUUAUGGACAAAAUGUUUUUGAUGCUAUUUUCACUUCACUAGUAAUGUGUCAUUUUGCAGUUUGCUACUAUUUACUUGUUAGAACUGUCCCUUCUUGGUCCUACCCUAGGAUGAAAACAAAUCAACCCCAACCCUGGUUGAACCUGUGAGAGUGGGGAUCCUGGAGAUAGGCAUGGUGGAGAAGCUUGCAAACCACUUGGUAUUUAACUGGAUCAAGGACCCCUUUUUCAUAUCCACCUUCCCACAUACCUCCUGAAGAUUCACCAUCACCUAGCAGGUGCUAGACUUGCUGUAUAAAAGGUGCCACCACCUCCAAACCCAGGAGAAUUUGCUCCCUCCUGACUGGGUCUUGGGAAAGCCCUGCAGUUCUCUGAACCCUAGUCAACCCUGUGGAAAUGGGUUUUCAUAGGAACACCAUUGUAGGGUGUUUUGAGGACUCUCCAAUUGGGAUGAGCCCUACAAGUGCUUGUGCCAGUCUAGCUAGCCCUGUGGAAUGUGCUCCCUGGGCUAUGGGCUUUUCUUUGUGACUGUCCCCUCCCCUGCUUGCUGAGGCUUAAGGCAGAGAGCUUCCCCAGUUGGAAAGAAGGUUGAGAACUCCCUCUGGGAGGGACCCCAACCUACAUGUAGCCAGAACAGUGAUCUCUGGGGUAUACUAAGAGGCCCUGAGCCAAUGAGAUAUCUGGGAAGGAGCUGGUUGACUUCAUUCUUUGCACAAACAUGAAGCACCUACUAUGUGUAGGCACAUUUCCAGGCACCUAGUGUAUCAUUCAGGGAGCAAUACUGUUGUAGAGACAGAAGAGGCCAGACACCAAGGGAGUAGCAGGAAGUGGAUUUAUUUAUUGAUUGCAACCAGGUUCAGAGGGAAAAGCUUUCACUGUAAUCAACCAAUCCCCCUGAACCCGAAGUUCAGGAAGUUUUAGAACUUUAUACCUAGCGUAUAGGGGGAGGGGGCUCAGAGGCUCACAAUCUACAGAAGUUUACAUGACAACUGGUUUUCUUUUUUAUUUUUUCAUUCUUCUUGGCUCCCAGCUCAACCCAGGUUUGACCAAAAUAACCCUAAGGACUUUCUCUUUCUUCUCUCUAUGAAAAUCAGUACCUGGGAAAAAGAGAGUUUGUUUUUAUUUUAUUUUGUUUUCUCUCACAAGCUGCCCUUCAAGGACCUAACUCUGAAAUACAAACACCUCUGUGAAGGCCUUGGGUUAGUUUUGCUUAUCACACUGUGUUUCUGUAGGCAUACCUCCUGCCUGAAAAUUCUUUUGCAGAAAGUCUGCUGACAGUCUAAGAAAGAUUAUGGUGGGGUCUCUGGAGAAGCUUAAUUAAGAUUUUCUGUGGAGGAGGGGGUGCCACUACAGUACAGAUAUACUUUCCACUUGCUCCUGGGUUUUCAUUUCAGUUGGGAAGUCAGUUCCACUAGCAUCCUGGCAGGUGUGGGGCACAGGACAUUUAAGGUGUCAC
RNAcentral lists this long non-coding RNA (3180 nucleotides) under Marmota monax (woodchuck). The record is from RNAcentral. Lineage: Eukaryota; Metazoa; Chordata; Mammalia; Rodentia; Sciuridae.